AUUUUUAAGGUUAGUUUACUUAGAUCAAGUUUUUCAAGUUGGGCUUCUAUAAGUUAAGAUUUUAAGAUCGAGCUCUUCCAAGUCGAGUUUUCUUAGGUUGAACUUCCUCUAGUCGAGCUUUCAAGCCAAGUUCUUUAGAGCGAACUCCACCAAUCGAACUUUCUUAAGCUGACUUCCUCCUAGGCGAGAUACCUUCAAGUCAAUUUCCUCCGGGGCGAGAACCCGCUAAGUUGAGCUCCUCUAAGUCAAGCUCCCUUAGGUCGAAUUCC
Molecule: long non-coding RNA, 269 nt
Filed under: Vigna radiata
Lineage: Eukaryota; Viridiplantae; Streptophyta; Magnoliopsida; Fabales; Fabaceae
Description: long non-coding RNA (VRAD_LNC002793)
Source: RNAcentral